GCGCGCCCGGAGUUCGAAAUGAAAACUUCCUCGAAAGUUGUGUCUAAAACGUGGCAUAAACUACAGCCAUAUAGUUUAGUCCUUCGGGGAUACAACCAAGAACCACUCCAACCACAACAGAGCUUGAAGAGGAAAUCAGAAACCGCGAUUGCUGAUGGCAAGAGACAAAGUUGUUGGAAAGCUUGGAAAACCUCUCCAUUACAAAAGUGGCACAUUCCACAGGAUUAUUCUCAACUUCAUGAUCCAGGGAGGUAAUAUUACAUUUGGUGAUGGAAGAGGUGAGGAUCGGUCUAUGGAUAGAAGUUUGCUGACAAGAACAUUAAGAUGAAGCAUACUGGACCUGGUAGGACUGGUUUGAUUUGUUCCUCAACCCACUGAUUUCAUUAGUCCUGUAUGGUUGGUUGUUGUUUUGUUCAAGACUAUUGGGAGAUUUCCGUUUCCUCUUUGUUGUUUUGUAGUACCAAUUUUUCACUGCCUGUCCUAAUAGCAGAGAAGUUAGUUUAAAUGAAGUAUAUCUCUGAACUGGUGUUGUUUUGUGAUUGGCUAAAGUGCUCGCUGAAGCUGGAAUAUAUGUGUCUGGACUCGGAGCAGAUGGCGGAGUAUAAUCCCUAAG
Molecule: long non-coding RNA, 613 nt
Organism: Quercus lobata
Lineage: Eukaryota; Viridiplantae; Streptophyta; Magnoliopsida; Fagales; Fagaceae
Exons: 5
Source: RefSeq, a predicted model, not a curated record